AUCAAGAUUAUGAUCAAUACCGUGGGGACGGCUUGAAUCAGCCUAUAAAUUCACCUCUUCUACCCUUUGUAAGCACUUUGAGUUUUAUAGUAAUGAAAUGCUAUAGAGAUCACUCGAGCACUCAUUCUCUCAUUGUCACUCGCUAGAGAGAGUUCUAAACCUCCUCUAGCCACCUUCCAUUGUUAGGAUUCUAACUAGGCUUCAAAUUACAUCACCACACACCAAACACUUCACCGAGAAUUCUCCCUUCCCUAGUUAAGAUGCAACCCCUUUAAGUUAAGAAAACUUGUGAAAACAAAAUAUGUUAAGGCAUCAUUCUCCCCUCUGUUUAGCCCUUGACAAGUGUACCAGAUCGUAUCAAGUAAU
RNAcentral lists this long non-coding RNA (366 nucleotides) under Vigna radiata. RNAcentral describes it as "long non-coding RNA (VRAD_LNC000486)". The record is from RNAcentral. Lineage: Eukaryota; Viridiplantae; Streptophyta; Magnoliopsida; Fabales; Fabaceae.